This 206-nucleotide long non-coding RNA is filed under the name Ananas comosus (pineapple). RNAcentral's name for it is "long non-coding RNA (ACOM_LNC036823)". The record is from RNAcentral. Lineage: Eukaryota; Viridiplantae; Streptophyta; Magnoliopsida; Poales; Bromeliaceae.
GAUAGAGUAUGUAGCUCUGUAGAGCAUGUCGUGUAGGACGACGUUAGCGGGUAGUGCUUGGGGACGACCCGUGCCUGGACCACUUGUGGACUGUGGAGCCUGGGCCCAUUGGGCAGGCGCAGUCAGCUGUGAGAGACAGCGGCCCGAUACCUAUAGGUAGGGCGGAGAGUCUGGUCAGAACGGUAGUCCGAGCUUAGACCCGAGUG